GGAACGAACACAAUGUCUAGCCAGGGCUGGAAUAAUUCAGGAAGGUGGCCUUGAAGGAUGGAGGGGAGAGAGAGCAGCCCAAGUGGAGAGGAGGACAGGAAAGAAGGCUCUAGAGAGACUGGUACAUAAUGGUGCAACUCACAAUCGAUGGCAUCGUCGAUUGGAUGAAACACAGCAGUACCUCUCACAGACUGAAUGGCUCCCCGGUGGCCACCUGUUUCCGAGGAGCUCAGCACUCAUAAUGACAAGGAAACCUAGAGGCUGAAAAUAGAGCUGAUUUCCCAGAAUCUCAGGUACCGAGAGGGGUGGGGACUUCUUGGACAUGAGUUCACAUUCGCUGAUGAAACGCAGCUGUCAUGUGCCCCACAGCUCCGUCCAGCUCCUGGUGACAGGGAAGGAAGCCAGUGUCGCUGGGAAAUACUGCAGAGGUUUUCACGCGAAGGGCUGAGCUUCCACACGCUGGAAAGGUGGGCCAGACUCAAAUGAACCUGCCGCUUGGACUGCCUUUUCUAAAGAAAGUGCUCCAUCAAUUCCUAACUGUGGGAACUGCAUUAGAUCAAUAGCCCAUAACUCUCAUUUUAAUGUUUGUCACCUGAGCCCUGGAGGUCAUGUGAAUGAGGUCUGUCAGCCCAGGCAGGUCCUCCCUGAGACCACUGGCUUCUGCAGCACACUUCAGAUGGGUGUGAAACUGGUCAUUUCAAAAGAAGCUUUGUAACUUGUCCAGAUG
RNAcentral lists this long non-coding RNA (727 nucleotides) under Equus caballus (horse). RNAcentral describes it as "lncRNA (ENSECAG00000058489.1)". The record is from RNAcentral. Lineage: Eukaryota; Metazoa; Chordata; Mammalia; Perissodactyla; Equidae.